GGUUUAAUUCGAUGAUACGCGGAGGAACCUUACCUGGGCUCCGGAACGUAAGAUGACUGUAGGUGAAAGCUUACAUCUCUUCGGAGCAUUUACGAGUGCUGCAUGGUUGUCGUCAGCUCGUGCCGUGAGGUGUCGGGUUAAGUCCCAUAACGAGCGCAACCCCUACCUUUAGUUGCCAUCAGGUAAUGCUGGGGACUCUAAGGGAACUGCCUACGCAAGUAGUGAGGAAGGCGGGGAUGACGUCAAAUCAGCACGGCCCUUACGUCCAGGGCUACACACGUGCUACAAUGGCCGAUACAGAGGGCAGCUACCUGGUGACAGGAUGCAAAUCUCCAAAGUCGGUCUCAGUUCGGAUCGGAGUCUGCAACCCGACUCCGUGAAGUUGGAUUCGCUAGUAAUCGCGCAUCAGCCAUGGCGCGGUGAAUACGUUCCCGGGCCUU
RNAcentral lists this ribosomal RNA (440 nucleotides) under uncultured Sphingobacteriales bacterium. Its description in RNAcentral is "bacterial SSU rRNA". It matches the Rfam family "Bacterial small subunit ribosomal RNA", at positions 943 to 1382 of the family's 1533-position model. The record is from RNAcentral. Lineage: Bacteria; Pseudomonadati; Bacteroidota; Sphingobacteriia; Sphingobacteriales.